Molecule: ribosomal RNA, 279 nt
Filed under: uncultured bacterium
Lineage: Bacteria
Description: partial 16S ribosomal RNA
Rfam family: Bacterial small subunit ribosomal RNA
Source: RNAcentral
AGAGUUUGAUCCUGGCUCAGGAUGAACGCUGGCGGCGUGCCUAACACAUGCAAGUCGAGCGAUCUCUUCGGAGAGAGCGGCGGACGGGUGAGUAACGCGUGGGUAACCUGCCCUGUACACACGGAUAACAUACCGAAAGGUAUACUAAUACGGGAUAACAUACGAAAGUCGCAUGGCUUUUGUAUCAAAGCUCCGGCGGUACAGGAUGGACCCGCGUCUGAUUAGCUAGUUGGUAAGGUAAUGGCUUACCAAGGCAACGAUCAGUAGCCGACCUGAGAG